RNAcentral lists this ribosomal RNA (334 nucleotides) under uncultured bacterium. RNAcentral describes it as "partial 16S ribosomal RNA". It matches the Rfam family "Bacterial small subunit ribosomal RNA", at positions 338 to 688 of the family's 1533-position model. The record is from RNAcentral.
CCUACGGUGUGCUGCAGUAGGGAAUAUUGCUCAAUGGGGGAAACCCUGAAGCAGCAACGCCGCGUGGAGGAUGAAGGUUUUCGGAUUGUACACUCCUUUUGUUAGAGAAGAUAAUGACGGUAUCUAACGAAUAAGCACCGGCUAACUCCGUGCCAGCAGCCGCGGUAAUACGGAGGGUGCAAGCGUUACUCGGAAUCACUGGGCGUAAAGAGCGCGUAGGCGGGAUAGCAAGGCAGAUGUGAAAUCCUAUGGCUUAACCAUAAAACUGCAUUUGAAACUGUUAUUCUAGAGUAUUGGAGGGGGAAGUUGAAAUUUUUGGUGAAGGGGAAAAAUC